GAUUAUCUUUCUAUUUAAUUAUAGAUCGUUUAGAUCCGUGUUGUUUUUUUAGCUAAACUUUGAUUUUACAUGUUAGUUAAGGUGGGAAAUGUUUUAG
Molecule: ribosomal RNA, 97 nt
Filed under: Pollicipes pollicipes
Lineage: Eukaryota; Metazoa; Arthropoda; Thecostraca; Pollicipedomorpha; Pollicipedidae
Description: partial 12S ribosomal RNA
Source: RNAcentral